CGUGUAGGCGGUCCGGUAAGUGAGAUGUGAAAUCCCUCGGCUCACCCGAGGACCUGCAUCUCAAACUGCCUGACUCGAGUACGGGAGAGGAUGUGGGAAUUCCUGGUGUAGCGGUGAAAUGCGUAGAUAUCAGGAGGAACACCGGUGGCGAAAGCGCACAUCUGGCCCGAUACUGACGCUGAGGCGCGAAAGGCUAAGGGGAGCAAACG
RNAcentral lists this ribosomal RNA (209 nucleotides) under uncultured bacterium. RNAcentral's name for it is "partial 16S ribosomal RNA". It matches the Rfam family "Bacterial small subunit ribosomal RNA", at positions 568 to 774 of the family's 1533-position model. The record is from RNAcentral.